AUGACUGGUCCCAAGUCCAGCGCCCAAGUAUUGCCUGGCAAGGAAUUCGGAGGAAGCGAUGUGGUACCAUACGCGGACGUCACAUGGAACUCGAAGGCCGCCCUUCAAUGUCAAUUCUUCACUUGGCUAGCCAUGUGGAACCGUUGUUGGACGUCCGUUCGACUCACCAAGAGAGGCUUGCCCACCAUGACACAUGCCCCUUCUACAAAGCCGACGAGACCAUUAACCAUCUACUCAUCGAAUGCAUCUUCACACGAUGGUCGAUCGGUGUGGCACAUGGUGUGGUCGGCUAUUGGAAAUCCGGACCAAGCUCCCACUGUUGAUGAUAACUUAGUGUCAUGGUGUGACUCCAAAAGAUGUGGAGGUCAAAAGGUGAAUGAAACGAGGGCCAUUCUUUUUAUUUUUUGCAAAAUGAAACGAGGACCAUUCUCUCGCUAA
RNAcentral lists this ribosomal RNA (438 nucleotides) under Triticum aestivum (bread wheat). Its description in RNAcentral is "partial small subunit ribosomal RNA". Lineage: Eukaryota; Viridiplantae; Streptophyta; Magnoliopsida; Poales; Poaceae. The record is from RNAcentral.